RNAcentral lists this long non-coding RNA (523 nucleotides) under Capra hircus (goat). RNAcentral's name for it is "lncRNA (ENSCHIG00000002442.1)". The record is from RNAcentral. Lineage: Eukaryota; Metazoa; Chordata; Mammalia; Artiodactyla; Bovidae.
GCCCAGGCAACUACAUAGGGAGGUCACAUGGGAGAGAACCAGGGUCCCUUGGCCACCAGCUCCAACUAAACUCCCAUCUGGGAGCCAGAAACGACUUCCAACCGUAUGUCUGAGGCCACUUGGACCUUUGCACCAUCCUAGUACUCCAGCCAAUAACACGUGAAGCAGAAUUGCUCAUUCAACCAAAAUGGGAGGAAAAUGGAAACCACCACCUGCACGAGAAGGAAGGUCAAACUCAGCCAGCCAGCUUGACUUCCCUGGGGCGAACCUGCGUCAAAUUGAACACAAAGAUUUACUUACUCGGACUUAAAGAGGAACCAGAGCCUCCUUCCUGCGGGAAUUGCCACCCUGCUCUGGAGAACCGGGCAGUCACAAGUCCAAAGCAGUGACCACAGUAGCAGUGUCGUUCAUCGGAAUGGCGACUGGAUGUUCUGUGGCUGCACCAGUUUACAUUGCUGCCAAUAGCGUAGGAGAAAACCACCUUCCAUCAACCUCAGUCUGCAGUGGGAAACCAGGUGGAGAG